RNAcentral lists this ribosomal RNA (253 nucleotides) under uncultured bacterium. RNAcentral's name for it is "partial 16S ribosomal RNA". It matches the Rfam family "Bacterial small subunit ribosomal RNA", at positions 524 to 776 of the family's 1533-position model. The record is from RNAcentral.
UACGGGGGGGGCAAGCGUUGUUCGGAAUUACUGGGCGUAAAGGGCUCGUAGGUGGCCAACUAAGUCAGACGUGAAAUCCCCAGGCUUAACCUGGGAACUGCGUGUGAUACUGGAUGGCUUGAAUUCGGGAGAGGGAUGCAGAAUUCCAGGUGUAGCGGUGAAAUGCGUAGAGAUCGGGAGGAACAUCCGUGGCGAAGGCGACUACCUGGACCAGCACUGACACUGAGGCACGAAAGCGUGGGGAGCAAACAGG